GAAAGUCAAGCAGGGUCUCUAAAGCCAAAGCUUUUUUAAAGGUAAUUAUUGCAUUUAUGAGAUAGUAUUAAGAGUUCUGAUUAGAUAAGUGGCUCAAAUUGUAAUUAAGGCUUGAACAACUCCCUGGAAUUUCAAGAAAGCUGAAUUUCAAGAAAGCAGACCUUGUGUGCACAAUAGCAACAACAUUGAAAUGGAAAUAUUAGUCAUUGGCUUCACCAAAACUUUGCAUGUUUGAAGACACAUUACAGAAUGGCCUUUUUUCGAAUAUGACACAGGUGUCGUCACCAUUUUCAGAUGAUAGAAAACACUGGCAAAACACAGCAAGUCUGGCAGCUACUGCUGAGACAAAGAAAUAGUUAUUUUGAAGCUAAUGAAUCUUCUUCGGUAUUCCACCAUCCUCAACUCUCAAUUUAAAUUAUUUCGCCAGCUUAAUGUUGGAAGAAACAUUAUUGUGGUUCUUGCAAUUGUGACUCUGGACAGAAUCUUCUCAGACCCUGAAAGAUAUGAUCAUUGGCGAGCAAACUGGAAAAUUCACAAAAGGUGGCCGGCAAAGAGCUUCUUGCGUCAAGAACCAAAAAUCCAAUUUUCAAUCCAAGUGUUAAAUGAUACUACCAGAUCUGUUGAGUUUCUCCGAUACAUUCAACUUUUGUGUCUAGCUGGUUCACCUUUUGCUAUCUUGAAAUCACAUGACAAAUUGUAUUCGAUGACUAAUUACAGCGAAUUGAUGUCCAAUUAGAAUGCAAGUAGCACAAAUAUGGCAUAAAGAAAACUCCGAGCGAUGCAAUAUUUCUGGUCCAGUCUCUCGUUCUUCUCCUGCUUGCUAGAUAUUUUCUAAUCAACCCGGUUCAGAGAUGUUAUUACACACCUCUGGAGCAGGUGGGACUUGAACCUGAGCAAUGUGGCUCAGGGGUAGGUACACUGUCACUGCACAAGCCUACAGUUGCCACAAUCAUCACAUCUCAAACACUUAUACAGAGAAUAAGUGUUUGAGAUGCAAUAAAUAACAAUAUGUUAUUUUGGGAGCAAAUGUUAUCUAACUUGCAUUUGAAUGAAAGAGUGUCAUUUCGUUCUGGAUGAGGUGAAAUAGCUUGUCUUGGCCAACAUUAAUUAGUCCGUUUGGAAUCACAAAAUCAGCAAUCACAUCACCUCUCAACCUGUUCUUUUAUAGUCUGCCACUGUUGAUUUUAUGAUUCCUACUUAAAUAUUUGAAAUAUUUAACUCUCACUUAAACUGGCUCAAUUCAAUGAGUAACAUUCAAUUAUCUCAAUUAAACAACGAAAGAUCAAUUCAUAUGCUCAGCAAUUGCAAACUGGCAAGCAAUUGAUAUAAACCUAGGUCUGACGCCAAAUACAGCAAAGGUGUGGACACAGGAGUUUCCCCACAGAGUGCUUUUGAAAUGUGAAUUACAUGACUACAGAAAUUUAAGAGAUUAAUUUCCGAUGGCAUUUACAGGUUAUCUCUAUGCUUUACAACAACUUGCAUGUAUAUGAUGCUUUUAACAUAGUAAAAUGUUCCAAGAAGCUUAAACUUAAGGAUAUUAGGAUGCCUGGGCAAGUGGAAGUGGAGUGGACUACAACUUAAAGCUAAGGGAAAAAAGCCAGUAUACGUUUGAUGGGCAGAAGAGUACUUCUGUAUUUACAAUUUGCAAUACAGUGCAAAAUAUUCACCACUUACCUAGCUGCUUGUUGUUUGGGUUAAAAUCAACACUGGUGACCACAUCUUUAUGACCUUUAAAGUUGUGUUCUAAGUUUGGAUCCUCCUAGGAUAGUAAAAAAGGUUUAAUACCUUACUUUACUCCACUAUUGGUUGCCAAAUAUACCAAGUUAAAACUUGUUGUUUUCGUUGAAAACUAGCCUUUUAAGACUUAUGAUCUUUCCAUAAAUUGUGAUUCCAGUUCAAAUAUUGGGAAAAUUCAUCUUUGUUACUUAUUAUGCUUAAUAAGACUCAAUUCAACCAAUAGAAAAUUAUACUCUAUUACUCCAGCUGUAAUUCCAAAGCCACUCAAAAUUAGUGUUCCUGAACAAAACGUUGAAGAAAUUGAGUAAUCCCAAAUUGAAGACAUUUGUAUAAUUUUCACAAUAUGUUAGAGUAUAUGCUGCAUUAAGCCAACUUAAAACUAGACAAGAAUAAUGCCUAAUAUUCCAAAAAACCAACUGCUGGUUUUGAGUGACUUCACAAAGGUGUGUGUCUAUAUUGCAUUUGAAAGCUUUAUGAUAACUUGCAUGUUUAGCAAAGAGAAAAAUUAAUGGACAAAGACAACAUUGACCACACAACUGACAUUUAUAAAGUUUAUUCAAAUAUUUUUGUAUGCAGUUCAUGGAAAACACAAACUUAAUAUUAAACUUUUAAAACUGUGGUGCACAGGAAAAUGUUGAUUAAAAUACAAAUA
This is a long non-coding RNA of Stegostoma tigrinum, 2389 nucleotides long. RefSeq lists it as uncharacterized. The record is from RefSeq and is a predicted model, not a curated record. The transcript has 3 exons. NCBI's taxonomy places the organism in Eukaryota, Metazoa, Chordata, Chondrichthyes, Orectolobiformes, Stegostomatidae.